ACCAUGUGCGGUUUGUUAUGAGGAGGAACGGGUUGGGAUUUGCCAAGGAGUGAGAAUUUGCGGUACAUGCAAAGUCAGAUUCGAUUAUGCUAUAAGAGAUUUUUAUGAUCCAAUAUGCUACAAUGAAGGAGUCUGUGCAAAUUCCAGAUUAAUCUUCCUUUGUGAGUACUGUCGACUGAACAGGUGCUACGAACUGGGAAUGAAGUUUAUAGAUCAAUACGAUAAAAAUUGCUUCUAUCGUGAUAUACAGCUAAGAUUAGCUAGAGAACAUGGGAUAUCAAAGUAGAUGGUGAGGAUAAAUGGGAGAUGUUAACUAAAGAAUUCGUACCUCUUAGAUAUUCUUUUCUCAGUUGGAUUUCUGGACAUCCCGAAUUUCAGGAACUAAGACCUGGAUUUCAAAAAGGGAAGAGGAGUUCCGAUGAUUUCGUCGAUUUUUCUUAAUGACUGAAGACUACAAAUUAAGUGUUCCUACAAUAUUUCUGAUUUUAACCAAUGACUGACUGUUGGACUUUAUUAUCUAGUUCUUAAUAAUAGUGAAUAAUUUCAUCUUUACGAUGGCGUAUACUGUACAACGCUGUUUUUAUAUUCUUUUUACUCUGAUCGGU
This is a long non-coding RNA of Centruroides sculpturatus (bark scorpion), 605 nucleotides long. RefSeq lists it as uncharacterized. NCBI's taxonomy places the organism in Eukaryota, Metazoa, Arthropoda, Arachnida, Scorpiones, Buthidae. The record is from RefSeq and is a predicted model, not a curated record. The transcript is spliced from 5 exons.